Molecule: long non-coding RNA, 460 nt
Organism: Culicoides brevitarsis
Lineage: Eukaryota; Metazoa; Arthropoda; Insecta; Diptera; Ceratopogonidae
Exons: 3
Source: RefSeq, a predicted model, not a curated record
CAGAAAUCGUGUAAAUUGCACUUAGUUAUCGCAGGAUAAUUUUAAGAAAAUUACUUAGGAUAUUUUAGAAAAUUAUUUCAAGUGGUCAUUCAAAAAAAUGGGUGUAAUCGUGUAUCUUUUCUUGUGUAUGUAUAUUACUCACAUAACAGCUGGUCAAACUUUUCAAUACUCCCGUGGAUGGACAAAUGGAAAAAGAUCCAAUGUUAUCAUGGUUCCUUUCAAAAAACCAGCUUCAGCGCUGAAACAACAACCAUACUUCCCAUGCGUGUUGGAUCCUCAAUUGGUAGCAAUCGACACAGAUAAUAGCAAAAAUGUACGCUCCAAAAUGUUCGAUCAUGACCUCAUGAUGGAUACCGAAGGAGCCCAAAGAAGUUUAAAAGACGAAGAAGUAUUCUAAAAGAACCAAAAUUCUAAGUAGUGAAGAACGAAAAUAUUUUAACAACCAAAAUAAUAUAUUUUA